GAUGAAGAACGCAGCGAAAUGCGAUAAGUAGUGUGAAUUGCAGAAUUCAGUGAAUCAUCGAAUCUUUGAACGCACAUUGCGCCCCUUGGUAUUCCAUGGGGCAUGCCUGAUCGAGCGUCAUUUGUACCUUCAAGCUUUGCUUGGUGUUGGGUGUUUGUCCCUCGGGACUCGCCUUAAAGUCAUUGGCAGCCAGUGUUUUGGUUUUGAAGCGCAGCACAAGUCGCGAUUCAAGGCUAUCCGCCCGCUUCCACAAGCCUUUUUCACUUUUGACCUCGGAUCAGGUAGGGAUACCCGCUGAACUUAAGCAUAUCAAUAAGCGGAGGA
Molecule: unclassified non-coding RNA, 324 nt
Filed under: soil metagenome
Description: partial contains 5.8S ribosomal RNA, internal transcribed spacer 2, and large subunit ribosomal RNA
Rfam family: 5.8S ribosomal RNA (bases 1-120)
Source: RNAcentral